RNAcentral lists this ribosomal RNA (253 nucleotides) under uncultured bacterium. Its description in RNAcentral is "partial 16S ribosomal RNA". It matches the Rfam family "Bacterial small subunit ribosomal RNA", at positions 524 to 776 of the family's 1533-position model. The record is from RNAcentral.
UACGUAGGGGGCUAGCGUUGUCCGGAAUCAUUGGGCGUAAAGCGCGUGUAGGCGGUCCGGUAAGUCCGCUGUGAAAGUCGGGGGCUCAACCCUCGAAUGCCGGUGGAUACUGUCGGGCUCGAGUCCGGAAGAGGAGUGUGGAAUUCCUAGUGUAGAGGUGAAAUUCGUAGAUAUUAGGAAGAACACCAGUGGCGAAGGCGGCUCACUGGUCCGGUACUGACGCUGAGGUGCGAAAGCGUGGGGAGCAAACAGG